This 241-nucleotide unclassified non-coding RNA is filed under the name uncultured fungus. Its description in RNAcentral is "partial contains 5.8S ribosomal RNA, internal transcribed spacer 2, and large subunit ribosomal RNA". The record is from RNAcentral. Lineage: Eukaryota; Fungi.
AACGCACAUUGCGCCUCCUGUUACAGGGAGGCAUGCCUGUCUGAGCGUCAUUUAAACCCAAUGCCGACGGCAUGCUCUGUCGUCGGCGUGUUGGGCCCUCGUCGGACCCGGUGUCGACGUGGCCUCGAAUGCAUUGGUCGAGUUGAGCGGACGAGAUCCCCUGGGACAUGAGACCGUUCACGAGACCCUAAGCCAUCUGAAUUUUGACCUCAGAUCAGGUAGGAACACCGCCUGAACUUAA